AAAUUACUGGAAUAUAUGUCAAUCUAUUUUAAAUUCAACCGACAAUUUGUAUACGGGAAUCGUAGUCUAUUGGUCAAUGAUAAGCCUUAGUGUUCAAUUAGGACAUAUUUUGGACCUCAGAUAGCCAAAGCAAGAUACCCACCUGAGUGAUCUCGGGACUUGAAUUUGAGUAGAGACGAUAUUCUGGUUUUUUA
This 194-nucleotide non-coding RNA is filed under the name Peptoanaerobacter stomatis. RNAcentral describes it as "Eubacteriaceae bacterium ACC19a 6S / SsrS RNA". It matches the Rfam family "6S / SsrS RNA". From Rfam's summary of the family: E. coli 6S RNA was the first non coding RNA to be sequenced, but its function was unknown until recently. The record is from Rfam by way of RNAcentral. RNAcentral also lists the same sequence under 1 other name. Lineage: Bacteria; Bacillati; Bacillota; Clostridia; Peptostreptococcales; Filifactoraceae.